UCCGUAGGCGGAUCUGUAAGUCAGUGGUGAAAUCUCACAGCUUAACUGUGAAACUGCCAUUGAUACUGUAGAUCUUGAAUUCGGUCGAAGUGGGCGGAAUAUGACAUGUAGCGGUGAAAUGCUUAGAUAUGUCAUAGAACACCGAUAGCGAAGGCAGCUCACUAGGCCUGGAUUGACGCUCAGGGACGAAAGCGUGGGGAGCAAACAGGAUUAGAUACCCGCGUA
RNAcentral lists this ribosomal RNA (225 nucleotides) under uncultured Fluviicola sp. RNAcentral's name for it is "partial 16S ribosomal RNA". It matches the Rfam family "Bacterial small subunit ribosomal RNA", at positions 568 to 792 of the family's 1533-position model. Lineage: Bacteria; Pseudomonadati; Bacteroidota; Flavobacteriia; Flavobacteriales; Crocinitomicaceae. The record is from RNAcentral.